Molecule: ribosomal RNA, 253 nt
Filed under: uncultured bacterium
Lineage: Bacteria
Description: partial 16S ribosomal RNA
Rfam family: Bacterial small subunit ribosomal RNA
Source: RNAcentral
GACGUAGGGUCCAAGCGUUAUCCGGAAUCACUGGGCGUAAAGCGUCUGUAGGUGGCGUGUUAAGUGUGAUGUUAAAUCGCGGGGCUCAACCCUGUCGCUGUAUCACAUACUGGCACACUAGAGGACGGCAGAGGCAAGUGGAAUUUGUAGUGUAGCAGUGAAAUGCGUAGAUAUUACAAGGAACACCAAUGGCGAAGGCAGCUUGCUGGGCCAAUCCUGACACUGAGAGACGAAAGCGUGGGGAGCGAACAGG